RNAcentral lists this transfer RNA (65 nucleotides) under Margaritifera dahurica. RNAcentral's name for it is "tRNA-Asp". Lineage: Eukaryota; Metazoa; Mollusca; Bivalvia; Unionida; Margaritiferidae. The record is from RNAcentral.
GAAGGGCUGGUUAAUUAAUAACAUAAGCUUGUCGAGCUUAAGUUGCCCAGUAAGGGUGCUCUUUU